UCCAGCAGCCAUAUCAUCCUGCAACUCACAACUGGCAACCCACUGAAGCUCAGCAGGUGUGAGCCUGGUCAGUACCUGGAUGGGAGACCUCCUGGGAAAAACUAAGGUUGCUGCUGNNN
This 119-nucleotide ribosomal RNA is filed under the name Lepisosteus oculatus (spotted gar). The record is from RNAcentral. Lineage: Eukaryota; Metazoa; Chordata; Actinopteri; Semionotiformes; Lepisosteidae.